RNAcentral lists this ribosomal RNA (154 nucleotides) under Sphaerobolus ingoldii. Its description in RNAcentral is "5.8S ribosomal RNA". It matches the Rfam family "5.8S ribosomal RNA". From Rfam's summary of the family: 5.8S ribosomal RNA (5.8S rRNA) is a component of the large subunit of the eukaryotic ribosome. It is transcribed by RNA polymerase I as part of the 45S precursor that also contains 18S and 28S rRNA. Lineage: Eukaryota; Fungi; Basidiomycota; Agaricomycetes; Geastrales; Sphaerobolaceae. The record is from RNAcentral.
ACUUUCAACAACGGAUCUCUUGGCUUCCGCAUCGAUGAAGAACGCAAGGACCGGCGAAACGUAAUGUGAAUUGCAGAAUUCAGUGAAUCAUCGAGUCUUUGAACGCAUCUUGCACUCCUUGGUAUUCCGAGGAGUAUGCCUGUUUGAGUGUCGU